AGAGAGAAAUAAGUGAGAGACGAGAUGAGAGACCGAAGAGAGCUGCGGCUCUGGAUUCGGUAUGGAAGACGAAAAGUAUGAUUGACUGGUGGGACUAGUCAAGGUGGGAAGUGUGUCGCAAAAUGUUAUGUAUUCUGUGUGUAAUGUCUAUUUGUCUUGUGUUAAAAAUAUUAUAUAUAUAGAAAACAUUAUUUGUAUCAUUAAAUGU
Molecule: non-coding RNA, 208 nt
Organism: Paramuricea clavata
Lineage: Eukaryota; Metazoa; Cnidaria; Anthozoa; Malacalcyonacea; Plexauridae
Source: the annotation of a GenBank genome assembly